RNAcentral lists this ribosomal RNA (1049 nucleotides) under Leptospira borgpetersenii serovar Hardjo-bovis. RNAcentral's name for it is "partial 23S ribosomal RNA". It matches the Rfam family "Bacterial large subunit ribosomal RNA", at positions 1 to 1090 of the family's 2925-position model. Lineage: Bacteria; Pseudomonadati; Spirochaetota; Leptospiria; Leptospirales; Leptospiraceae. The record is from RNAcentral.
GGUUAAGCGAACAAGCGUACACGGUGGAUGCCCUGGCAGUCAGAGGCGAUGAAGGACGUGCUAAUCUGCGAAAAGCGCCGGUAAGGUGAUAUGAACCGUUAUAACCGGCGAUGUCCGAAUGGGGAAACCCGGUGCACUUCGGUGCAUCAUCGUUAGCUGAAUACAUAGGCUAACGAGGCGAACCGGGGGAACUGAAACAUCUAAGUACCCCGAGGAAAAGAAAUCAACCGAGAUUCCCCCAGUAGCGGCGAGCGAACGGGGAACAGCCCAGAGCCUGAAUCAGCUUGUGUGUCAGUGGAACGGUCUGGAAAGGCCGGCGAUACAGGGUGACAGCCCCGUACACGAAGGCACACAGGCUGUGAGCUCGAUGAGUAGGGCGGGACACGUGAUAUCCUGUCUGAAGAUGGGGGGACCAUCCUCCAAGGCUAAAUACUCCUGACUGACCGAUAGUGAACCAGUACCGUGAGGGAAAGGCGAAAAGAACCCCGGCGAGGGGAGUGAAACAGAACCUGAAACCGUGUACGUACAAGCAGUGGGAGCCUUCGUAAGAGGGUGACUGCGUACCUUUUGUAUAAUGGGUCAGCGACUUAUAUUCUGUAGCAAGGUUAACCGUAUAGGGGAGCCGAAGGGAAACCGAGUCUUAAUUGGGCGUUAAGUUGCAGGGUAUAGACCCGAAACCCGGUGAUCUAGCCAUGGGCAGGUUGAAGGUUGGGUAACACUAACUGGAGGACCGAACCGACUAAUGUUGAAAAAUUAGCGGAUGACCUGUGGCUGGGGGUGAAAGGCCAAUCAAACCGGGAGAUAGCUGGUUCUCCCCGAAAGCUAUUUAGGUAGCGCCUCGUGAACUCAUCUUCGGGGGUAGAGCACUGUUUCGGCUAGGGGGCCAUCCCGGCUUACCAACCCGAUGCAAACUGCGAAUACCGAAGAAUGUUAUCACGGGAGACACACGGCGGGUGCUAACGUGCGUCGUGAAGAGGGAAACAACCCAGACCGCCAGCUAAGGUCCCAAAGUCAUGGUUAAGUGGGAAACGAUGUGGGAAGGCACAGAC